Non-coding RNA from Caerostris darwini, 117 nucleotides. Lineage: Eukaryota; Metazoa; Arthropoda; Arachnida; Araneae; Araneidae. The record is from the annotation of a GenBank genome assembly.
AACGGCCAUACCAUGCUGAAUAUACCGGUUCCCGUUAGAUCACCGAAGUUAAGCAUCAUUGGGCGCGGUCAGUACUUGGGUGGGUUCAGUGGUUUGUGGUGCGAACACCGCGUGCCG